Molecule: ribosomal RNA, 450 nt
Filed under: uncultured Glomus
Lineage: Eukaryota; Fungi; Glomeromycota; Glomeromycetes; Glomerales; Glomeraceae
Description: SSU rRNA
Rfam family: Eukaryotic small subunit ribosomal RNA
Source: RNAcentral
AGCAGCCGCGGUAAUUCCAGCUCCAAUAGCGUAUAUUAAAGUUGUUGCAGUUAAAAAGCUCGUAGUUGAAUUUCGGGAUCAAUGGGUCGGUCGUGCCAAUGGUAUGUACUGGCCUCAUUGGUUCUCACCUUCUAAGGAACCAUGAUGUCAUUUAUUUGAUGUUGUGGGAAAUUAGGACUGUUACCUUGAAGAAAUUAGAGUGUUUAAAGCAGGCUAACGCUUGAAUACAUUAGCAUGGAAUAAUGAAAUAGGACAUCCGAUUCUAUUUUGUUGGUUUCUAGGAUCGAUGUAAUGAUUAAUAGGGAUAGUUGGGGGCAUUAGUAUUCAAUUGUCAGAGGUGAAAUCCUUGGAUUUAUUGAAGACUAACUACUGCGAAAGCAUUUGCCAAGGAUGUUUUCAUUAAUCAAGAACGAAAGUUAGGGGAUCGAAGACGAUCAGAUACCGUCGUAG